AUACGGAGGGUCCGAGCGUUAUCCGGAAUCAUUGGGUUUAAAGGGUCCGUAGGCGGGAAUCUAAGUCAGUGGUGAAAUCUUGCAGCUCAACUGUAAAAUUGCCACUGAUACUGGAUUUCUUGAAUUAGUGUGAAGUGGUUAGAAUGUGUAGUGUAGCGGUGAAAUGCAUAGAUAUUACACAGAAUACCAAUUGCGAAGGCAGAUCACUAACACUAUAUUGACGCUAAGGGACGAAAGCGUGGGGAGCGAACAGGAUUAGAAACCCGGGUAGUCC
This 274-nucleotide ribosomal RNA is filed under the name uncultured bacterium. RNAcentral's name for it is "partial 16S ribosomal RNA". It matches the Rfam family "Bacterial small subunit ribosomal RNA", at positions 523 to 796 of the family's 1533-position model. The record is from RNAcentral.